This 252-nucleotide ribosomal RNA is filed under the name uncultured bacterium. Its description in RNAcentral is "partial 16S ribosomal RNA". It matches the Rfam family "Bacterial small subunit ribosomal RNA", at positions 524 to 775 of the family's 1533-position model. The record is from RNAcentral.
UACGUAGGUGGCAAGCGUUGUCCGGAAUUAUUGGGCGUAAAGCGCGCGCAGGCGGUCCUUUAAGUCUGAUGUGAAAGCCCACGGCUCAACCGUGGAGGGUCAUUGGAAACUGGGGGACUUGAGUACAGAAGAGAAGAGUGGAAUUCCACGUGUAGCGGUGGAAUGCGCAGAUAUCAGGAGGAACACCGGUGGCGAAGGCGGGUCUCUGGGCCGAUACUGACACUGAGAAGCGAAAGCGUGGGGAGCGAACAG